This 143-nucleotide ribosomal RNA is filed under the name Klebsiella pneumoniae. RNAcentral's name for it is "partial 23S ribosomal RNA". It matches the Rfam family "Bacterial large subunit ribosomal RNA", at positions 1 to 142 of the family's 2925-position model. Lineage: Bacteria; Pseudomonadati; Pseudomonadota; Gammaproteobacteria; Enterobacterales; Enterobacteriaceae. RNAcentral also lists the same sequence under 3 other names. The record is from RNAcentral.
GGUUAAGCGACUAAGCGUACACGGUGGAUGCCCUGGCAGUCAGAGGCGAUGAAGGACGUGCUAAUCUGCGAAAAGCGUCGGUAAGGUGAUAUGAACCGUUACAGCCGGCGAUGUCCGAAUGGGGAAACCCAGUGCAAUUCGUU